CGACUAGCUGGGGUAUCCUGGGUUCUCAAGGCCAGGUGGUCUACGAUGGGUGUCGGUGGUCCUGACCAUGUAUCCGGUGCGGUCUCAGACCCGUAAGUGGACCGUAUGUCUUGCUGAUGCCAUCCGUGGGGCUUCUCAGGGGAUCGGUUGGUCGUCCGUUUACUGUGAUGGUGUGGGGGAUGCCCUCUAUAGGGCUAAUCGUCAGAAGUCGCGGUGGUCGUGGAUGUGAUGGCGUUGUCUGGUGGGUGUCUGGGCGGGGGACUCGAGUGGAUUGCCCCGUGGGCCUUGGGUGAGGGGUGGU
This is a non-coding RNA of Pelobates cultripes (western spadefoot toad), 301 nucleotides long. NCBI's taxonomy places the organism in Eukaryota, Metazoa, Chordata, Amphibia, Anura, Pelobatidae. The record is from the annotation of a GenBank genome assembly.